GCGGACGGGUGAGUAACACGUGGGUAACCUGCCUGUAACACUGGGAUAACUCCGGGAAACCGGAGCUAAUACCGGAUAGUUCCUUGAACCGCAUGGUUCAAGGAUGAAAGACGGUUUCGGCUGUCACUUACAGAUGGACCCGCGGCGCAUUAGCUAGUUGGUGAGGUAACGGCUCACCAAGGCGACGAUGCGUAGCCGACCUGAGAGGGUGAUCGGCCACACUGGGACUGAGACACGGCCCAGACUCCUACGGGAGGCAGCAGUAGGGAAUCUUCCGCAAUGGACGAAAGUCUGACGGAGCAACGCCGCGUGAGUGAUGAAGGUUUUCGGAUCGUAAAGCUCUGUUGUUAGGGAAGAACAAGUGCAAGAGUAACUGCUUGCACCUUGACGGUACCUAACCAGAAAGCCACGGCUAACUACGUGCCAGCAGCCGCGGUAAUACGUAGGUGGCAAGCGUUGUCCGGAAUUAUUGGGCGUAAAGGGCUCGCAGGCGGUUUCUUAAGUCUGAUGUGAAAGCCCCCGGCUCAACCGGGGAGGGUCAUUGGAAACUGGGAAACUUGAGUGCAGAAGAGGAGAGUGGAAUUCCACGUGUAGCGGUGAAAUGCGUAGAGAUGUGGAGGAACACCAGUGGCGAAGGCGACUCUCUGGUCUGUAACUGACGCUGAGGAGCGAAAGCGUGGGGAGCGAACAGGAUUAGAUACCCUGGUAGUCCACGCCGUAAACGAUGAGUGCUAAGUGUUAGGGGGUUUCCGCCCCUUAGUGCUGCAGCUAACGCAUUAAGCACUCCGCCUGGGGAGUACGGUCGCAAGACUGAAACUCAAAGGAAUUGACGGGGGCCCGCACAAGCGGUGGAGCAUGUGGUUUAAUUCGAAGCAACGCGAAGAACCUUACCAGGUCUUGACAUCCUCUGACAACCCUAGAGAUAGGGCUUUCCCUUCGGGGACAGAGUGACAGGUGGUGCAUGGUUGUCGUCAGCUCGUGUCGUGAGAUGUUGGGUUAAGUCCCGCAACGAGCGCAACCCUUGAUCUUAGUUGCCAGCAUUCAGUUGGGCACUCUAAGGUGACUGCCGGUGACAAACCGGAGGAAGGUGGGGAUGACGUCAAAUCAUCAUGCCCCUUAUGACCUGGGCUACACACGUGCUACAAUGGACAGAACAAAGGGCUGCGAGACCGCAAGGUUUAGCCAAUCCCACAAAUCUGUUCUCAGUUCGGAUCGCAGUCUGCAACUCGACUGCGUGAAGCUGGAAUCGCUAGUAAUCGCGGAUCAGCAUGC
Molecule: ribosomal RNA, 1272 nt
Filed under: Bacillus pumilus
Lineage: Bacteria; Bacillati; Bacillota; Bacilli; Caryophanales; Bacillaceae
Description: bacterial SSU rRNA
Rfam family: Bacterial small subunit ribosomal RNA
Source: RNAcentral